AGGGUUUGAUCAUGGCUCAGAACGUACGCUGGCGGCACGCCUAACACAUGCAAGUCGAACGAAGUAGCAAUACUUAGUGGCAGACGGGUGAGUAACAUGUAGGUAUCUGCCCUUUGGCCUGGAAUAACACGAGGAAACUUGUGCUAAUACCGGAUAAGUCUUUACGGAGAAAGCUUUAUGCACCAUUGGAUGAGCCUGCACUUGAUUAGUUUGUUGGUGGGGUAAUGGCCUACCAAGACUGUGAUCAAUAGCUGAUUUGAGAGGAUGAUCAGCCACAUUGGGACUGAGACACGGCCCAAACUCCUACGGGAGGCAGCAGUGGGGAAUCUUGCACAAUGGAGGAAACUCUGAUGCAGCGAUGCCGCGUGAGUGAAGAAGGCCCUUGGGUUGUAAAGCUCUUUCGUCGGGGAAGAAAAUGACUGUACCCGAAUAAGAAGGUCCGGCUAACUUCGUGCCAGCAGCCGCGGUAAUACGAAGGGACCUAGCGUAGUUCGGAAUUACUGGGCUUAAAGAGUUCGUAGGUGGUUGAAAAAGUUAGUGGUGAAAUCCCAGAGCUUAACUCUGGAACUGCCAUUAAAACUUUUCAGCUAGAGUAUGAUAGAGGAAAGCAGAAUUUCUAGUGUAGAGGUGAAAUUCGUAGAUAUUAGAAAGAAUACCAAUUGCGAAGGCAGCUUUCUGGAUCAUUACUGACACUGAGGAACGAAAGCAUGGGUAGCGAAGAGGAUUAGAUACCCUCGUAGUCCAUGCCGUAAACGAUGUGUGUUAGACGUUGGAAAUUUAUUUUCAGUGUCGCAGCGAAAGCGAUAAACACACCGCCUGGGGAGUACGACCGCAAGGUUAAAACUCAAAUGAAUUGACGGGGACCCGCACAAGUAGUGGAGCAUGUGGUUUAAUUCGAAGAUACGCGCAGAACCUUACCAACACUUGACAUGUUCGUCGCGACUCUAAGAGAUUAGAGUUUUCGGUUCGGCCGGACGAAACACAGGUGCUGCAUGGCUGUCGUCAGCUCGUGUCGUGAGAUGUUGGGUUAAGUCCCGCAACGAGCGCAACCCUCACUUUUAGUUGCCAUCAUUAAGUUGGGCACUCUGAAAGAACUGCCAGUGAUAAGCUGGAGGAAGGUGGGGAUGACGUCAAGUCCUCAUGGCCCUUACGUGUUGGGCUACACACGUGCUACAAUGGUAUCUACAACAGGAAGCAAGACUGCGAAGUUAAGCAAAUCCCUAAAAGAUACCUCAGUUCGGAUUGCACUCUGCAACUCGAGUGCAUGAAGCUGGAAUUACUAGUAAUCGUGGAUCAGCGUGCCACGGUGAAUGCGUUCCCGGGUCUUGUACACACCGCCCGUCACACCAUGGGAGUUGGUUCUACCUUAAGGCAAGGUUUCAAACCCUUGACCACGGUAUAGUCAGCGACUGGGGUGAAGUCAUAACAAGGUAGCCGUA
RNAcentral lists this ribosomal RNA (1439 nucleotides) under uncultured bacterium. RNAcentral's name for it is "bacterial SSU rRNA". It matches the Rfam family "Bacterial small subunit ribosomal RNA". The record is from RNAcentral.